GAUGAACGCUAGCGGCAGGCCUAACACAUGCAAGUCGAGGGAGAAGCCCUUUCGGGGGCAGAAACCGGCGCACGGGUGCGUAACGCGUAUGCAACCUACCUUUCACAGGGGGAUAGCUCGAAGAAAUUUGGAUUAAUACCCCAUAAUAUUAUUGAAUGGCAUCAUUUGAUAAUUAAAACUGAGGUGGUGAAAGAUGGGCAUGCGUCCUAUUAGCUAGUUGGAGUGGUAACGGCACCCCAAGGCUACGAUAGGUAGGGGUCCUGAGAGGGAGAUCCCCCACACUGGUACUGAGACAGGGACCAGACUCCUACGGGAGGCAGCAGUGAGGAAUAUUGGUCAAUGGUCGGAAGACUGAACCAGCCAUGCCGCGUGCAGGAAGAAUGCCCUUAUGGGUUGUAAAACUGCUUUUAUAUGGGAAGAAUAAAGGCG
RNAcentral lists this ribosomal RNA (429 nucleotides) under Capnocytophaga gingivalis. RNAcentral describes it as "bacterial SSU rRNA". It matches the Rfam family "Bacterial small subunit ribosomal RNA", at positions 28 to 457 of the family's 1533-position model. The record is from RNAcentral. Lineage: Bacteria; Pseudomonadati; Bacteroidota; Flavobacteriia; Flavobacteriales; Flavobacteriaceae.